UAGGGAAUCUUCCGCAAUGGGCGAAAGCCUGACGGAGCAACGCCGCGUGAGUGAAGAAGGUCUUCGGAUCGUAAAACUCUGUUAUUAGGGAAGAACAAAUGUGUAAGUAACUAUGCACGUCUUGACGGUACCUAAUCAGAAAGCCACGGCUAACUACGUGCCAGCAGCCGCGGUAAUACGUAGGUGGCAAGCGUUAUCCGGAAUUAUUGGGCGUAAAGCGCGCGUAGGCGGUUUUUUAAGUCUGAUGUGAAAGCCCACGGCUCAACCGUGGAGGGUCAUUGGAAACUGGAAAACUUGAGUGCAGAAGAGGAAAGUGGAAUUCCAUGUGUAGCGGUGAAAUGCGCAGAGAUAUGGAGGAACACCAGUGGCGAAGGCGACUUUCUGGUCUGUAACUGACGCUGAUGUGCGAAAGCGUGGGGAUCAAACAGGAUUAGAUACCCUGGUAGUCCACGCCGUAAACGAUGAGUGCUAAGUGUUAGGGGGUUUCCGCCCCUUAGUGCUGCAGCUAACGCAUUAAGCACUCCGCCUGGGGAGUACGACCGCAGAGGUUG
Molecule: ribosomal RNA, 551 nt
Filed under: uncultured bacterium
Lineage: Bacteria
Description: bacterial SSU rRNA
Rfam family: Bacterial small subunit ribosomal RNA
Source: RNAcentral